AGCGAACGCUGGCGGCAGGCCUAACACAUGCAAGUCGAACGAUCCUUCGGGAUAGUGGCGGACGGGUGAGUAACACGUGGGAACGUACCUUUAGGUUCGGGAUAACUCAGGGAAACUUGAGCUAAUACCGGAUGUGCCCUUCGGGGGAAAGAUUUAUCGCCUUUAGAGCGGCCCGCGUUAGAUUAGCUAGUUGGUGAGGUAAAGGCUCACCAAGGCUCCGAUCUAUAGCUGGUCUGAGAGGAUGAUCAGCCACACUGGGACUGAGACACGGCCCAGACUCCUACGGGAGGCAGCAGUGGGGAAUCUUGCGCAAUGGGCGAAAGCCUGACGCAGCCAUGCCGCGUGAAUGAUGAAGGUCUUAGGAUUGUAAAAUUCUUUUAGCAGGGAUGAUAAUGACAGUACCGGGAGAAUAAGCUCCGGCUAACUCCGUGCCAGCCGCCGCGGUAA
This 447-nucleotide ribosomal RNA is filed under the name uncultured bacterium. Its description in RNAcentral is "partial 16S ribosomal RNA". It matches the Rfam family "Bacterial small subunit ribosomal RNA", at positions 29 to 523 of the family's 1533-position model. The record is from RNAcentral.